UACGGGGGGGGCAAGCGUUGUUCGGAAUUACUGGGCGUAAAGGGCUCGUAGGUGGCCAACUAAGUCAUACGUGAAAUCCCUCAGCUUAACUGGGGAACUGCGUCUGAUACUGGAUGGCUUGAGUUUGGGAGAGGGAUGCGGAAUUCCAGGUGUAGCGGUGAAAUGCGUAGAUAUCUGGAGGAACACCAAUGGCGAAGGCAGCUCGCUGGAACGGUACUGACGCUGAGGCGCGAAAGCGUGGGGAGCAAACAGG
This 253-nucleotide ribosomal RNA is filed under the name uncultured bacterium. RNAcentral describes it as "partial 16S ribosomal RNA". It matches the Rfam family "Bacterial small subunit ribosomal RNA", at positions 524 to 776 of the family's 1533-position model. The record is from RNAcentral.